AACCAUAGAAACCUGCGGAGUACCUGCGGAGGGAUCAUUAUAGUAUAUGGAAUCUCCAUUCUAUAAACCCACUCUGCGUAUCUUGUAACUGUUGCUUCCAUGGGACUUGGUUCCGCCACACCGGCUUCACGGCUGGUGAGCGCCCAUGGAAGGAGAAACAGAACUCUUCUUUGAAAUGUAGUCAGUCUGAACAAGUUUUUAUAAACGUUAAAACUUUCAGCAAUGGAUCUCAGAUCGGAA
RNAcentral lists this unclassified non-coding RNA (240 nucleotides) under soil metagenome. RNAcentral's name for it is "partial contains 5.8S ribosomal RNA, internal transcribed spacer 2, and large subunit ribosomal RNA". The record is from RNAcentral.